Molecule: non-coding RNA, 135 nt
Organism: Triticum aestivum (bread wheat)
Lineage: Eukaryota; Viridiplantae; Streptophyta; Magnoliopsida; Poales; Poaceae
Source: Rfam
UUACUACUCCCUCCGUCUGGAAAUACUUGUCAUCAAAAUGGAUAAAAGGAGAUGUAUCUAGAUGUAUUUUAGUUCUAGAUACAUUCCUUUUUGUCCAUUUUGAUGACAUGUAUUUUCGGACGGAGGGAGUAGUUA